Molecule: ribosomal RNA, 259 nt
Filed under: uncultured prokaryote
Description: partial 16S ribosomal RNA
Rfam family: Bacterial small subunit ribosomal RNA
Source: RNAcentral
UACGUAGGUGGCAAGCGUUAUCCGGAAUUAUUGGGCGUAAAGAGCGCGCAGGUGGUUGAUUAAGUCUGAUGUGAAAGCCCACGGCUUAACCGUGGAGGGUCAUUGGAAACUGGUCGACUUGAGUGCAGAAGAGGGAAGUGGAAUUCCAUGUGUAGCGGUGAAAUGCGUAGAGAUAUGGAGGAACACCAGUGGCGAAGGCGGCUUCCUGGUCUGUAACUGACACUGAGGCGCGAAAGCGUGGGCAGCAAACAGGAUUAGA